AGUAAAUCAGUGGCAGAGGCAGGCGGAAGACGGAGGCAUCAAGCGUUAAUAGGAAUGAGUUGGGGUAAAAAGUGCUCACGAGGCUUAUUAAGUCAGAUGGGAAAACCCUAGGCUCAACCUAGGAACUGCAUUUGAAACUAAUAAACUAUAGUAUCGUAGAGGGAGGUAGAAUUCCAGGGGUAGCGGUGAAAUGCGUAGCUAUCUGGAGGAAUACCAGUUGGGAAGGCGACCUCCUGGACGAAAACUGACGCUCAAGCACGAAAGCAUGGGGAGCAAACAGGAUUAGAUACCCCUGUAGUC
This 300-nucleotide ribosomal RNA is filed under the name uncultured Desulfurococcus sp. Its description in RNAcentral is "bacterial SSU rRNA". It matches the Rfam family "Bacterial small subunit ribosomal RNA", at positions 496 to 795 of the family's 1533-position model. Lineage: Archaea; Thermoproteati; Thermoproteota; Thermoprotei; Desulfurococcales; Desulfurococcaceae. The record is from RNAcentral.